This 1080-nucleotide ribosomal RNA is filed under the name Fusarium venenatum. RNAcentral describes it as "SSU rRNA". It matches the Rfam family "Eukaryotic small subunit ribosomal RNA", at positions 68 to 1159 of the family's 1831-position model. Lineage: Eukaryota; Fungi; Ascomycota; Sordariomycetes; Hypocreales; Nectriaceae. The record is from RNAcentral.
AGCCAUUAUACCGCGAAACUGCGAAUGGCUCAUUAUAUAAGUUAUCGUUUAUUUGAUAGUACCUUACUACUUGGAUACCCGUGGUAAUUCUAGAGCUAAUACAUGCUAAAAAUCCCGACUUCGGAAGGGAUGUAUUUAUUAGAUUAAAAACCAAUGCCCUUCGGGGCUCACUGGUGAUUCAUGAUAACUCCUCGAAUCGCAUGGCCUUGCGCCGGCGAUGGUUCAUUCAAAUUUCUUCCCUAUCAACUUUCGAUGUUUGGGUAUUGGCCAAACAUUGUUGCAACGGGUAACGGAGGGUUAGGGCUCGACCCCGGAGAAGGAGCCUGAGAAACGGCUACUACAUCCAAGGAAGGCAGCAGGCGCGCAAAUUACCCAAUCCCGACAGGGGGAGGUAGUGACAAUAAAUACUGAUACAGGGCUCUUUUGGGUCUUGUAAUUGGAAUGAGUACAAUUUAAAUCCCUUAACGAGGAACAAUUGGAGGGCAAGUCUGGUGCCAGCAGCCGCGGUAAUUCCAGCUCCAAUAGCGUAUAUUAAAGUUGUUGUGGUUAAAAAGCUCGUAGUUGACCCUUGGGCCUGGCUGGCCGGUCCGCCUCACCGCGUGUACUGGUCCGGCCGGGCCUUUCCCUCUGUGGAACCCCAUGCCCUUCACUGGGCGUGGCGGGGAAACAGGACUUUUACUGUGAAAAAAUUAGAGUGCUCCAGGCAGGCCUAUGCUCGAAUACAUUAGCAUGGAAUAUUAGAAUAGGACGUGUGGUUCUAUUUUGUUGGUUUCUAGGACCGCCGUAAUGAUUAAUAGGGACAGUCGGGGGCAUCAGUAUUCAAUUGUCAGAGGUGAAAUUCUUGGAUUUAUUGAAGACUAACUACUGCGAAAGCAUUUGCCAAGGAUGUUUUCAUUAAUCAGGAACGAAAGUUAGGGGAUCGAAGACGAUCAGAUACCGUCGUAGUCUUAACCAUAAACUAUGCCGACUAGGGAUCGGACGGUGUUAUUUUUUGACCCGUUCGGCACCUUACGAGAAAUCAAAGUGCUUGGGCUCCAGGGGGAGUAUGGUCGCAAGGCUGAAACUUAAAGAAAUUGACGG